UGAUCCACAUACCGGAGACGAGUUAUUCCAAUCCCUUUAUCAUUCUCUGAUGUUUCUUGCUCCCCCAGGCUUUUACGGGUUGCUUGAAUUUGGUCACUUAUUGCAUCGCGCAAGCACCGAAAGUGGCGGGAUAUAGUCUGGAGGGCAAGUGCCGAGUAUGGUUUAGCUGCCCCACAUCCCGCUAUCACAUCAAAUGAUGACACCACAAUCUGCAUCUGAUGAUAAUACUGUCUGUACCUUCUAUCAACCUCAUCCAACAUGGACAAAAGCUUACUCAACUUAUUCUGCAAUUCUUGUCUUUCAGCAUGUGAAAGCUCACUUGGAAAGUUAUUGGUGGAUUCCUGAGGGUCUGCAGACCCAUUCUUUGAUUUGCUGUCACCUCUUUUUGAACUAUUCAGCCCAUGCUCAUUUGUGCUUUGGUUUUUCUC
RNAcentral lists this unclassified non-coding RNA (428 nucleotides) under Hevea brasiliensis (rubber tree). Lineage: Eukaryota; Viridiplantae; Streptophyta; Magnoliopsida; Malpighiales; Euphorbiaceae. The record is from RNAcentral.